AGUGAACGCUGGCGGUAGGCCUAACACAUGCAAGUCGAACGGCAGCACAGUAAGAGCUUGCUCUUACGGGUGGCGAGUGGCGGACGGGUGAGGAAUACAUCGGAAUCUACUUUUUCGUGGGGGAUAACGUAGGGAAACUUACGCUAAUACCGCAUACGACCUACGGGUGAAAGCAGGGGAUCUUCGGACCUUGCGCGAUUGAAUGAGCCGAUGUCGGAUUAGCUAGUUGGCGGGGUAAAGGCCCACCAAGGCGACGAUCCGUAGCUGGUCUGAGAGGAUGAUCAGCCACACUGGAACUGAGACACGGUCCAGACUCCUACGGGAGGCAGCAGUGGGGAAUAUUGGACAAUGGGCGCAAGCCUGAUCCAGCCAUACCGCGUGGGUGAAGAAGGCCUUCGGGUUGUAAAGCCCUUUUGUUGGGGAAAAAAAGCAGCAGGUUAAUACCCCGCUGUUCUGACGGUACCCAAAGAAUAAGCACCGGCUAACUUCGUG
RNAcentral lists this ribosomal RNA (492 nucleotides) under uncultured bacterium. RNAcentral describes it as "partial 16S ribosomal RNA". It matches the Rfam family "Bacterial small subunit ribosomal RNA", at positions 29 to 507 of the family's 1533-position model. The record is from RNAcentral.